Molecule: ribosomal RNA, 447 nt
Filed under: uncultured bacterium
Lineage: Bacteria
Description: bacterial SSU rRNA
Rfam family: Bacterial small subunit ribosomal RNA
Source: RNAcentral
AACGAACGCUGGCGGCAGGCCUAACACAUGCAAGUCGAACGCUCGUAGCAAUACGGGAGUGGCAGACGGGUGCGUAACGCGUGGGAACAUACCCUUUGGUUCGGAAUAACUCAGGGAAACUUGAGCUAAUACCGGAUACGCCCGAGAGGGGAAAGAUUUAUUGCCGAAGGAUUGGCCCGCGUCUGAUUAGCUAGUUGGUAGGGUAACGGCCUACCAAGGCGACGAUCAGUAGCUGGUCUGAGAGGAUGAUCAGCCACACUGGGACUGAGACACGGCCCAGACUCCUACGGGAGGCAGCAGUGGGGAAUAUUGGACAAUGGGCGCAAGCCUGAUCCAGCCAUGCCGCGUGAGUGAUGACGGCCUUAGGGUUGUAAAGCUCUUUACCUGGGAAGAUAAUGACGGUACCAGGAGAAUAAGCCCCGGCUAACUUCGUGCCAGCAGCCGCGU